Molecule: ribosomal RNA, 478 nt
Filed under: uncultured bacterium
Lineage: Bacteria
Description: partial 16S ribosomal RNA
Rfam family: Bacterial small subunit ribosomal RNA
Source: RNAcentral
GACGAACGCUGGCGGCGUGCUUAACACAUGCAAGUCGAACGGUAAGGCCCUUCGGGGUACACGAGUGGCGAACGGGUGAGUAACACGUGGGUGAUCUGCCCUGCACUUCGGGAUAAGCCUGGGAAACUGGGUCUAAUACCGGAUAGGACUCCGGACUGCAUGGUCUGGGGUGGAAAGCUUUUGCGGGGUGGGAUGGGCCCGCGGCCUAUCAGCUUGUUGGUGGGGUGAUGGCCUACCAAGGCGACGACGGGUAGCCGGCCUGAGAGGGUGACCGGCCACCCUGGGACUGAGAUACGGCCCAGACUCCUACGGGAGGCAGCAGUGGGGAAUAUUGCACAAUGGGCGCAAGCCUGAUGCAGCGACGCCGCGUGAGGGAUGACGGCCUUCGGGUUGUAAACCUCUUUCAGCAUCGACGAAGCGAAAGUGACGGUAGGUGCAGAAGAAGGACCGGCCAACUACGUGCCAGCAGCCGCAGUAA